Molecule: small RNA, 544 nt
Filed under: Pan troglodytes (chimpanzee)
Lineage: Eukaryota; Metazoa; Chordata; Mammalia; Primates; Hominidae
Description: processed transcript
Source: RNAcentral
GUAUUUGGUGGCAAACCUUUAUUCUUUAGGUAGAUAUUUGAGGUGGCUCAGCAGAUUUAUAUGUUGCAGUAUCUGGAGAUUAAAGAAACAUUUGGAAAUGAUUCAGAGAUUUGAUUUUAUGAGUGAACGAAUGUCUUGGAGUAUCCACAGUGACUUACUGAGUAACCUGUUGCAGAGUCCCAGUUCAGCCAAACUGUUGAAUCAGCCAAUUCCCAUCCUUGAUGUGGAGAGUGAGUAUAUCUGUUCCCUGGCUUUGGAGUGCCUGGCCCAUCUCUUCAGUUGGAUUCCUCUGUCUGCCAGCAUCACCCCAUCCCUCCUUACCACCAUCUUCCACUUUGCACGAUUUGGCUGUGACAUCCGGGCCAGAAAGAUGGCGUCAGUUAAUGGCAGCAGCCAGAACUGUGUCUCGGGUCAGGAGCGCGGCCGGCUGGGGGUCCUGGCUAUGUCCUGCAUCAAUGAACUCAUGUCCAAGAACUGUGUGCCUAUGGAAUUUGAGGAGUAUUUACUGCGUAUGUUCCAGCAGACUUUCUACCUCCUGCAGAAA